RNAcentral lists this ribosomal RNA (253 nucleotides) under uncultured bacterium. Its description in RNAcentral is "partial 16S ribosomal RNA". It matches the Rfam family "Bacterial small subunit ribosomal RNA", at positions 524 to 776 of the family's 1533-position model. The record is from RNAcentral.
UACGGAGGGUGCAAGCGUUAUUCGGAAUCACUGGGCGUAAAGGGCGCGUAGGCGGCUCUUUAAGUCGGGCGUGAAAGCCCGGGGCUAAACUCCGGAAGUGCGUCCGAAACUAGAGGGCUGGAGUACGGGAGAGGGAAGCGGAAUUCCUGGUGUAGAGGUGAAAUUCGUAGAUAUCAGGAGGAACACCAGUGGCGAAGGCGGCUUCCUGGACCGAUACUGACGCUGAGGCGCGAAAGCGUGGGGAGCAAACAGG